Long non-coding RNA from Cydia fagiglandana, 376 nucleotides. RefSeq lists it as uncharacterized. The record is from RefSeq and is a predicted model, not a curated record. The transcript is spliced from 2 exons. Lineage: Eukaryota; Metazoa; Arthropoda; Insecta; Lepidoptera; Tortricidae.
AGUACGUGAUCGUCCAUAUAAAAAGAGAAAGCGUUUUUCCACUUCUAAAUAUUUUCCAUUCUCCAUGAUUUUUUUCGUUCCGUAGCCAAAUGGCAAAAAACGGAACCCUUAUGGAUUCGUCAUGUCUGUCUGUCUGUCCGUCCGUAUGUCACAGCCACUUUUUCCGAAAUUAUAAGAACUAUACUGUUGAAACUUGGUAAGUAGAUGUAUUCUGUGAACCGCAUUAAGAUUUUCACACAAAAAUAGAAAAAAAAACAGUAAAUUUUUGGGGUUAUAAAAAUAUAAUAUGAUGUACAUUACUGUACAAACUUCCACCGAAAAUUGGUUUGAACGAGAUCUAGUGAGUAGUUUUUUUUAAUACGUCAUAAAUCGUAAA